UGUGAACCGAGGCCUUUUCCCUCUGCAGAGAUCUUUCCUCUUUCCCACCUGUUUACUGAAAUGCCUUCACCAGAGGACAAAGCUUGUCAUUCCACAAAGCCAGACUUAUAAUACAAAUCUCACCGAAUGAGUUAAUUCUUGGAUGUGACUACAAGUCACUGGUUUCAAAUCUUCUCUUGCCAGCAGGGAUUGGCAGAGAUGAAGAGAAACAAGAAGCAGAAAUACAGGCAACACAGAGGUGGUUGUGUCCACUUAGCUAUUUAUCCCAGAAAUAACACCAUGCUUUGCCAUGCCUAGUAUAGACAUGGCUACAGUGACAAUCCAGGUGAAAGAUACAGGUUUUCAUGUGAUUCCUUAACAAAGAGAAGAUUGUUAACUAUGAUUGCCAUCUACCUAUAGCCAACCUAGAAGACUUACCUCAGUUUACAAGGCAGAGCUUUCAUUCUUGUUGCCCAGGCUGGAGUGCAAUGGCGCAAUCUCGGCUCACUGCAAUCUCUGCCUCUUGGAUUCAAGCGAUUCUCCUGCCUCAGUCUCCCAAGUAGCUGGGAUUACAGGCAUGUGGCCCAGCUAAUUUUUUAUAUUUAGUAGAGACAGGGUUUCACCAUGUUGUUCAGGCUGGACUCGAACUCCUGACCUCAAGCGAUCCACCUAACUUGGCAUCCCAAAGUGCUGGGAUUACAGGCAUGAGCCACUGUGCCAGCCCAACCUCUUUCACUCUCUUACUUGCCCAGGGGAAGUCAGCUGCCAUGUUUCAUCCUGCCCUAUGACGUCCACAUAGCAAAGAAUUGAGACAAGCCUCCAACCAACAGCCAGAAAUUAACUAAGGCCUUCAUUCCAACAGGCUGCAAGAAACUAAAUCCUUCCAACAACUACAUAAGUGAGCCUGGAAAUGAAUCCUCCCCUAGUCAAGCCUUCAGAUGAGACUGUUGCUCUAGGUGAUGUGGUGCCUGUAAUCACGUGACGUUGAACAAGAAAAAUACCCAGAUAAACCAUGCCCGGAUUCCUAACCCAAAGAAUUUGUGAAAAAAAUCAAUAUUUGUAUUUUAAGCCAUCAACUUCUCAGGUGAUUUGAUACACACCAAUACAUAACUAAGACAAGUGCCUUUUGAACUCCUUUUCCCUUAAAAUCCCAGAGGAUUUAACAUGACUUUCAAAAUUAUAAAAAAUAAAUUUUUAUUUCAAUAUUUUAUUUAAAUUUGGGGGGUGGUAGGGAUAGAGUCUCACUGUCACCUAGGCUGGCGUGCAGCGGCACUAUCUCAGCACACUGCAACAUUUGUCUCCCAAGUUCAAGCAAUUCUCCUGCCUCAGCCUCCUGAGUAGCUGGGAUUACAAGCCUGAGGCACCAGGCCUGGCUAAUUUUUGUAUUUUUAGUAGAGACGAGGUUUCACCAUGUUGGGCAGGCUGGUCUUGAACUCCUGACCUCAAGUGAUCCACCCACCUCAGCCUCCCAAAGUGCUGGGAUUACAGGCGUGAGCCACCGCACCCAGCCUUUUAUUUAAUUGUUAAUGGAAUUCAAAACAUCAGACAAGCUACAGCCUCCUUGUUUUCUGUUACUUAUUCUAAUGCUAAAAUAAAAACAAGCAUUAAGACAUUCUGGAUUUUGUAACUCAGAAGCUUCUGGGGUUUUUUAAAAUUAAUAUUAUAAUUUAAGGAUUACGUGAUAUAGUGGGAUUUUUAAAUACCACAUUAACAAUAUAUCUCUCUGGUAAGCACCCAUAAGGUUUCUUUGAGGACUGCAGCAUUUUAGAGUCUCUAGAUAACAUCUAAAACAUCAGUUUGAAUUAAGCAAGCUGAGACUUAGAGGGGUUAAAAGAUUCUCCUGUGGUCCUAUUAUAGAAUUAGCACGUGGCAGAGCUCAGACAGAAACCUACACUUUCUGAUUCCAGAGCAUUGCUCAUUCUAUCUCACUACUUUGAGAAACCAAGAAAGCAUGGCCAGCUGUAAUAAUCUUGUCCAUUUUACCCAAAUAAAGAUGGAACAUUAUUGGAGAAAAAUUAAAAUGCCCUACAGCAGCACAACGAUCCCUGGUUUGUUGUCAUCAUUUUCAACUUGCAGUCUGC
Molecule: long non-coding RNA, 2060 nt
Filed under: Homo sapiens (human)
Lineage: Eukaryota; Metazoa; Chordata; Mammalia; Primates; Hominidae
Description: HSALNT0070496
Source: RNAcentral